CUACGGGUUGCUCCAGUGGGGAAUAUUGCACAAUGGAGGAAACUCUGAUGCAGCAACGCCGCGUGGAGGAUGACACUUUUCGGAGCGUAAACUCCUUUUAUAUAGGAAGAAGAUGACGGUACUAUAUGAAUAAGCGCCGGCUAACUCCGUGCCAGCAGCCGCGGUAAUACGGAGGGCGCAAGCGUUACUCGGAAUCACUGGGCGUAAAGAGCGUGUAGGCGGAUUAAAAAGUCAGAAGUGAAAUCCUAUAGCUUAACUAUAGAACUGCUUCUGAAACUCUUAAUCUAGAAUAUGGGAGAGGUAGAUGGAAUUUCUGGUGUAGGGGUAAAAUCCGUAGAGAUCAGAAGGAGUACCGAUUGCGAAGGCGAUCUACUAGAACAUUAUUGACGCUGAGACGCGAAAGCGUGGGGAGCAAACAGGAUUAGAUACCCGGGUAGUC
Molecule: ribosomal RNA, 439 nt
Filed under: uncultured bacterium
Lineage: Bacteria
Description: partial 16S ribosomal RNA
Rfam family: Bacterial small subunit ribosomal RNA
Source: RNAcentral